UAUUUUGAAUUUUGUUCUGUAUAUGUUUGUAUUAGUGGUGAUACUUUAAAUUAUGCACUAAUUUGCAGUUGAUUGUAUCCAUUUCAGAAGAGAGUAUAUCGGAGACUUGGAGUGACAUCACGUGCUUGAUAAUAUGCUUCAAUCAGUCUCUUAUCAAGACAUUUGUGUGGUCCUCAAAGAAAAAAUCGGCAGAAAUGGAAUAGAUGGAUCACUUUGAGUGGAUAAGUGGGUGAAAUGAGGAAUAGAAACCCGCAGGCCUGCAUCCCCUUCAAUGGUAUUAGUGAAAAUACAUGGGAGCGGCUGCGAGGAUCACUUGAUGUUCCUCAAUUCAGGUGGUGGCGCUGCAAAAAUUGUAUUCAUGAAGUUGUCCCUUAUACCAGUACUGCUGCUGAGAAAAUAUUGACUGCAGAACAGGCGACUUCUUUGCAUUUAUGUAUUCCUGGGAUGGAAUAAGAGUCUUCACUUGAGGUCAGAGCUGCUGGAGGUAGAUGAAAUCAGUUGUAUCCUGUCUUAUAAUUUCGAUAUCCAUAUUCAGUUAAUUUCCUCCUGAUAUUACUUGCAUCUAACAACUCUACCGCAGUGUCUUAUCUUAAUUGUUAUUUAUCUGAAACGCAAGGUAAUUUCGGACAUAAUCUCUUAGGGGAGAUGCUAUUAAAUCUCUUUUCAAAUCCAUAAACAUGGUUGAUAAUGAUGGCAAAAUGGUUGAUAAUGAUGGCAAAAGAGAAAUCCCUUACAUUUGUGACCUAGAAAUAUUGGCAACGAUACUAGCAGAAAUGGAUUAUGAUCUUCCUCCGCUACAUUCUGAUCUUCCUCCGCUACAGGAAACCUGUCCGAGAUCAAAUGUGGAAGUGGAUUUUUAGUUGAGUGAAGUUAUGUGACUUAAAAUGUGUGCCAAACAAUGAAGGAAAACUCUAAAGAAAUGAGUGAGACAGAGAGAAUAGGAUAAUUAAAAUUUAAAAAGUUAGUUUCACUUCACUUUUUUUGUUGAACUUCAUUUGUCUAUUAUUGACAUUUUCAUAUGCUUAUGUAUAGAUUGACAAGGUCAGUUUAUUUGUGGAAA
Daucus carota subsp. sativus is the source of this 1060-nucleotide long non-coding RNA. RefSeq lists it as uncharacterized. The record is from RefSeq and is a predicted model, not a curated record. The transcript has 2 exons. NCBI's taxonomy places the organism in Eukaryota, Viridiplantae, Streptophyta, Magnoliopsida, Apiales, Apiaceae.